GGUAUCUGCAUAAUUCCAUUGUUCUUCGGGGCCCUUCCCUCCUUAAAAUGAUGGAUCGCCCGGUAAUAAGAAUGCUUUCGCCUUUAUCACCACCCCUCGCGCCUCCUUCAGCGCUCCUUUUACUGCCAGGGCCAGUGGCAGAGGAGCCAGUCGGUCGCUCAUUGGCUUUCGGGUACCCAGCAGCUCCCAGCCAUUCUGGUUUUAAAAUAUUGGGAGCUCUUUGAUUGUAACCAUCGGGGUUUGUCGAUUAGAGGAGGGACGGGUUGUGUUUUAAUUGUUCAGAAACAACAGUAUCCUGAGGAGCCCCAGCCAAGGGAGUCUCCCCUGAGCAAAGAUGACCCAGCUGGUGAAAAUUAAGGAGCGGACUCGGCAAUAAAACCAGGAGGUGGCCUUCCAGAUGGGUUAUCUUCUUCUUUGCCUAACCUUGGAGCCAAAUGCAGAAGUCAAAAAUUAAUUAAUAAUUAAUUAAUAAGUGCCUAGACUAAUGUUUCAGCAAAUGAUCAUUACGAGCUGCAGGCUUGAUCCCUCCUCUCUGUACGUAGCGCCUGCUGCUGUGGUGCUCACUGUGAUGCACAUUCACAGAUCAGAGCCCAGAGUACACCAGCCCGGGAGGAAGAGUCAGUUGGAAAACAGAAACCCAGCAUUUUUAUUUUCUACACAACCACAAAGUGCGGCGAAGGUGCUGUGAUGGAGUCAGGCACCACAAACAGAUGCCUCUCCAGACUGAGGGAGCGGGAAAACGCUUGGCCCUUCCCUUGGUACGUGAUGGUUGUGUUUUACUUGACUUUAAAUUACUUGAAUGAAGCUUUGUCUGUUUAUCAAAGUGAUCUGAAGCUACAGUUGGAAAGCUCAAGGAUGUGGCUAUGCAGUCCCUAUGCCAUGGAUAUUUAGAAAUAUUGAGUUAUCAAGGAUGCAAAUUUUUAUUCUAACACCAAUGAAAAGGCCUUAUGAAUUUUCUUCAUUAAAAAACAAGGUUGCAUGUAAUCUUUGUAGGAUAAAGCAG
Molecule: long non-coding RNA, 1003 nt
Filed under: Rattus norvegicus (Norway rat)
Lineage: Eukaryota; Metazoa; Chordata; Mammalia; Rodentia; Muridae
Description: long non-coding RNA NONRATT032963
Source: RNAcentral